This is a long non-coding RNA of Mustela lutreola (European mink), 847 nucleotides long. RefSeq lists it as uncharacterized. NCBI's taxonomy places the organism in Eukaryota, Metazoa, Chordata, Mammalia, Carnivora, Mustelidae. The record is from RefSeq and is a predicted model, not a curated record. The transcript is spliced from 3 exons.
GUUGUCCCAGGACCCGGAGAUCAUGACAGGAGCCAAAAUCAAGAGUUGGACGUUCAACUGACGGAGACCCCCAGGUGGCAAAGUUCACAGGAAAGCAAGGCAAAAAACAAGAGCAAAAAUGAAACUCGAGGCUUGGAUUCAGGAAAUCUACUUUCUGGAGGAGGCAACGCUAACAUUCUGUGCACGAGCCCACUACAAAGACAGACAUCUGGUUUUAUUCUCCUCCUUUUAGGGGAACAGUCUCAAGCAGAACAUCAACUGAGAAAUUCCCAGAAUGAUCUAGCCCUCGAUUAUCUAAACCAAUGGAUUUAAAACUUUAAUACAUAAGACGUUAUGGGGAUGAGGGGAAAACAUGUUUGGGGCUCCCUCUGCCAAGAUCCUGAUUUAACAGAUUUUUAGGGAAAGCUGGAAAGAUUUUUAAGAAGUAUUCUAAGUGAUUCUGAAGCUGGUGUUUCAAAGACCCCAUAGGUGAACCCUGACACGCAGCUUGGACAGAAUGUACAAGGAGGAUGAAAAAACACACUACCCAGAAUCUGUAGAUGUGAUCCACUCUGUAAUAGGAUAGUAGUAAGUAAUAAAGAUAAAUGAGCAGUCACAAGACGUAUCUUCAUCUAUGACAAUGUAAUGAUCCCUCUUCUGGGAAUAAAUCAAAUGUUGCUGUUAAUGAGUACACAAAUAGCUAAAAAUACAUGUAGUCCUUGAUGGAGAAAUGGAUUUUAUUAAAUUCAAUGCGUUCCUUCUGCAAAAUAAUGGAGUGAAAUUCAAUGUGCCAUUUAUGAAAUGAUUCUGUCUGUAGGUGAAAAAUAAAAAUAAAAAAAAUGUCAGACACUUAUAAUAACAGCAAGUU